AAGUGCUUAUAGAUGGUGUUGAUUUGAAGAAGUUGAAGCUUAGCUGGAUAAGACAGAAGAUUGGUCUAGUAAGUCAGGAACCUAUCUUAUUUGCAACUAGCAUAAAAAAGAACAUAGCAUAUGGAAAAGAAAAUGCCACGGAUCAGGAGAUUAGAACUGCAAUUGAACUUGCUAAUGCUUCCAAAUUCAUCAAUCAAAUGCCUGAGGGGCUUGACACAAUGGUAGGAGAGCAUGGCACUCAAUUAUCAGGAGGCCAAAAACAAAGAAUUGCUAUUGCAAGGGCCAUUUUAAAGAAUCCAAAAAUUCUCCUCCUUGAUGAAGCAACAAGUGCAUUAGAUGCUGAGUCUGAACGCAUUGUCCAAAAUGCACUAGAGAAUGUUAUGUGCAACAGGACAACUGUAGUUGUUGCUCAUCGUUUAACCACCAUUAGGAAUGCUGACAUCAUUGCUGUAGUGCAUUUGGGCAAACUUGUGGAGAAAGGAACUCAUGAGGAUUUGAUACAAAACAAGGAUGGAGCAUACUCCCAACUAAUUCGCCUGCAAGGAGGAGCUAAUGAAUCUGAACAUUCUCAACAGCUAGAUCCAGAUGCUUCAGAAAUUAGUUUGGGAUUAGAAAAGUCCUUUUCUGGUUCAGAAAGCCAGAGACAAUCUAUGCUGAGAUCUUUGAGUAGAGUUUCAUCAGGAAGCCGCCAAUCUUUCUCGAUUAACAACUUAGGCUUUGGUUUGCUUGUUGAUAUUAAUAUUGUCGACUCAGAAACGCAUGAGGAGAAGACUAUGCUAGAGAAGAAGCAGCCUAAACAAGUUCCAAUGAGACGGCUUGCCCACCUGAACAAGCCUGAAUUGCCUAUUCUAUUGCUUGGAGCUAUUGCUGCAGCAAUACAUGGGACCGUUUUCCCAGCAUUUGGCGUUUUACUAUCAACAGCCAUUAAAGUGUUCUAUGAGCCUCCAAAUGAGCUGAAAAAAGAUUCCAAGUUCUGGGCAGCGGUAUAUGUGGGGAUUGGUUUCAUUGCUUUAUUAUCUAUAUCAGUGCAGAACUACUUCUUUGGAAUUGCAGGGGGUAAAUUGAUUGAAAGAAUUCGUUCCAUGACAUUUGAAAAGGUCGUACACCAAGAAAUCAGCUGGUUUGAUGAUCCUGCAAAUUCUAGUGGAGCGGUUGGGGCAAGAUUGUCAACGGAUGCUUCAACAGUUAGGAGUCUUGUUGGUGAUGCCUUGGCCUUAGUUGUCCAAAACGCAUCAACAAUCGUAGCAGCACUGGUUAUAGCAUUCACAGCUAACUGGAUUCUGGCAUUUAUAAUUCUUGCAGUAUCACCCUUGCUGCUUGUUCAAGGGUACACUCAGGCAAAGUUUACGAAGGGGUUCAGUGCAGAUGCCAAGCUGAUGUAUGAAGAAGCAAGUCAGGUGGCAAAUGAUGCAGUUGGAAGCAUUAGAACUGUUGCGUCAUUUUGUGCUGAGAAGAAGGUGAUGGACUUGUACCAAGAGAAAUGUAAUGGUCCUGUAAAAAAAGGGGUUCGGCUUGGACUUGUUAGUGGUGCAGGUCUUGGCUUCUCGUUCUUUAUACUCUAUUGCACAAAUGCAUUCUGUUUUUACAUCGGAUCUGUUCUUGUACAACACGGGAAAGCAACAUUUGGAGAAGUUUUCAAAGUAAGAUAUGAAUUGGCCUCUUGGUUUUCUUUUCACAUUUUUUUUCCCUUCCUUCUUUUCAAUCUACCUUCAAGUUUUCUGCAGGUUUUCUUCGCGUUGACAAUUGCAGCAAUUGGGGUUUCCAAUUCCAGUGCCAUGGGUACAGACAGUAGCAAAGCCAAGGAUGCAGCAGCUUCAAUAUUUAACAUUAUUGACAGAAAGCCCAAAAUUGACUCAAGUAGUGAUGAAGGCACUACACUUCCACAUAUAAAAGGUGACAUUGAGCUUGAAAAUGUCAGUUUCAGUUAUCCAAUGAGACCACAUGUUCAAAUUUUCAGAGACUUAUCCCUUAGUAUCCCCUCUGGAAAGACAGUUGCGUUGGUGGGGGAGAGUGGCAGUGGAAAGUCAACAGUAAUUAGCCUCUUAGAGAGAUUUUAUGAUCCUGAUUCUGGUCGUAUAUAUAUAGACAAUGUGGAAAUCAAGAAGUUCAAACUAAGCUGGCUGAGACAACAAAUGGGAUUAGUAGGCCAAGAACCAAUACUCUUCAAUGAAACCAUCCGCACAAAUAUUGCUUACGGCAAGCAGGGAAAUCCUACUGAGGAAGAGAUAAUUGCUGCAACAAAAGCAGCAAAUGCUCACAACUUCAUUAGUAGCUUACAACAGGGGUAUGAUACUGUUGUAGGAGAGCGAGGAAUACAAUUGUCUGGAGGGCAGAAACAAAGGGUAGCCAUUGCUCGUGCUAUAAUCAAAAGUCCAAAGAUACUGCUAUUAGAUGAGGCUACAAGUGCCCUGGAUACUGAAUCUGAGAAAGUGGUUCAAAAUGCUUUAGACCGAGCAGUGGUGAACAGGACUACAGUUAUUGUAGCCCAUCGAUUAUCAACGAUCAAGAAUGCAGAUGUUAUUGCAGUGGUUAAAAAUGGAGUUAUUGUAGAGAAAGGAAAGCAUGAUUCUUUGAUCAAUGUCACAGAUGGUUUCUAUGCCUCUUUAGUGGCACUUCACACGAGUUGCCUCAACUGAAUGAGUCACUAGCUUUUUUUAUCUAUAUUGAUUUCUUAUAUUAUGACUCAACUUUUGGAGAUGGAUUUUGAAGAGAUUUUACAUUGUUUAGUUUCUUCAAUAGCAUACAAGAAGAGUUUUAAAUGCUUUGAUGAUUUAGAGGUUUUCAACAGAAUGGUGGAAUAGUUGGGUUUUUUGAAUUGCAGAGUGGCAUGGCUAACUUCCUUGAAUCAUAAAAGCAAGUAUAGAGUGGCAUGGCUAACUUCC
RNAcentral lists this unclassified non-coding RNA (2882 nucleotides) under Hevea brasiliensis (rubber tree). The record is from RNAcentral. Lineage: Eukaryota; Viridiplantae; Streptophyta; Magnoliopsida; Malpighiales; Euphorbiaceae.